This 235-nucleotide ribosomal RNA is filed under the name uncultured bacterium. Its description in RNAcentral is "partial 16S ribosomal RNA". It matches the Rfam family "Bacterial small subunit ribosomal RNA", at positions 542 to 776 of the family's 1533-position model. The record is from RNAcentral.
UAUCCGGAUUCACUGGGUUUAAAGGGUGCGUAGGCGGGUAAGUAAGUCCGUGGUGAAAUCUCUGAGCUUAACUCAGAAACUGCCGUGGAUACUAUUUGCCUUGAAUAUUGUGGAGGUGAGCGGAAUAUGUCAUGUAGCGGUGAAAUGCUUAGAUAUGACAUAGAACACCAAUUGCGAAGGCAGCUCACUACACAAUCAUUGACGCUGAGGCACGAAAGCGUGGGGAUCAAACAGG